Molecule: long non-coding RNA, 1055 nt
Filed under: Olea europaea (common olive)
Lineage: Eukaryota; Viridiplantae; Streptophyta; Magnoliopsida; Lamiales; Oleaceae
Description: long non-coding RNA (OEUR_LNC002521)
Source: RNAcentral
GAUCACAAAUCAAACAAUUUAUAGAUUACAGUUUAUUCGUCGAUCAUAGACUUUCAAAUUAAUUGAUCACAAGUUAUUUUUAAUAGCAUACUAUCAAAUUUUUAGAUUACAAUUGAAUACUUGAUCACAAAUUAGCCAAUUUAUUGGUCAUAAAUUUUCAAAUUACAUAGUUACGGAUUAUUUUUUACUCACAUAUUAUCAAAUUUUCGGGUCACAUUUGAAUAUGUGGUUACAAAUUAUACAAUUUAUUGGUCCCAAGUAAUUGGUCACAAACGCCACCAUUCCAUCCUUACCCACGGCCAUCGCCACUAUUCGCACCAACAAAACAACAUGCCAACUUUCCAUCAUUGUAGCACCAUUGUCACCAAAACUUGCGCCACCAAAGGUUCAGCCAUGCCUCUGACACCACCAGCUUUCCAUCUCAACCACACCAAAACAACAAUUCCACCCAAAAAAUCCCCAAAGCCAGGGUGCCGACCACCAAAAACACGACCACCGUUGCAACACCGACGCUCACGCCGCCCAAAAUUGGCACCACAAUCACCACCGCAACCUCACCGCCAAAGCCAGUAACCACUACCACCAGCAAAACACACAACCAAAACUACACUACAAACACCACAAAAUAAAUUUCACAGCUGAAGACCAUCCCAAAGACAUGGUUGAGCAUCGAUAUACGCGGGGCUCAAAUCGUUGCGGCAACGAACGGAAGCGCACAACUCACAGCGUCACUACUUGAUGGCCGGUGGUGACAUUGCUGUGCCACAGAUCCUUUUCCAGAGGAGAUGUUGUUGAGAGAGAAGAGAGAUCAGGGAGAAAAGAGUGACUCGUGUGUUUAGAGAGAGAGAGAGAGAGAGAUGAAGGAGACGAUAUGGGGGAAGGGUUAGGUUUUAUGUGUUGGACCGGGUGGGUAAAUAAUAGAUGGGAUAGUUUUUAUAUUGGCUGAAUUAUUGAGCUUAUUUUCAACAAUAGCCUUUUCUAUAAAAAGUACUAUUUUACCAUUACUAAAGUUAUUUGCAAGAUGUAUCUUAUAUCUUUAAGAAUUUAUCAAUCAG